This 494-nucleotide ribosomal RNA is filed under the name uncultured bacterium. RNAcentral's name for it is "partial 16S ribosomal RNA". It matches the Rfam family "Bacterial small subunit ribosomal RNA", at positions 28 to 507 of the family's 1533-position model. The record is from RNAcentral.
GACGAACGCUGGCGGCGUGCUUAACACAUGCAAGUCGAACGGUGAAGCGCCUUCCUUUUUGGUGGGUGUGGAUGAGUGGCGAACGGGUGAGUAACACGUGAGUAACCUGCCCCCUUCUUCUGGAUAACCGCAUGAAAGUGUGGCUAAUACGGGAUAUUCUGGGUCUGUCGCAUGAUGGGUCUGGGAAAGAUAUUGUUUCGGUGGGGGAUGGGCUCGCGGCCUAUCAGCUUGUUGGUGGGGUGAUGGCCUACCAAGGCGGUGAUGGGUAGCCGGCCUGAGCGGGUGGACGAUCACACUGGGAAGGAGACACGGCCCAGACUCCGACGGGAGGCAGCAGUGAGGAAUAUUGCACAAUGGGCGCAAGCCUGAUGCAGCGACGCCGCGUGAGAGAUGGAGGCCUGCGGGUUGUGAACCUCUUUCGCCAGUGAAGCAGGCCUGCCUCGUUUGUGGGUGGGUUGACGGUAGCUGGAUAAGAAGCGCCGGCUAACUACGUG